RNAcentral lists this ribosomal RNA (427 nucleotides) under uncultured bacterium. RNAcentral's name for it is "partial 16S ribosomal RNA". It matches the Rfam family "Bacterial small subunit ribosomal RNA", at positions 355 to 774 of the family's 1533-position model. The record is from RNAcentral.
UGGGGAAUAUUGGACAAUGGGCGAAAGCCUGAUCCAGCCAUGCCGCGUGUGUGAAGAAGGUCUUCGGAUUGUAAAGCACUUUAAGUUGGGAGGAAGGGCAUUAACCUAAUACGUUAGUGUUUUGACGUUAACGACAGAAUAAGCACCGGCUAACUCUGUGCCAGCAGCCGCGGUAAUACAGAGGGUGCAAGCGUUAAUCGGAAUUACUGGGCGUAAAGCGCGCGUAGGUGGUUUGUUAAGUUGGAUGUGAAAGCCCCGGGCUCAACCUGGGAACUGCAUCCAAAACUGGCAAGCUAGAGUACGGUAGAGGGUGGUGGAAUUUCCUGUGUAGCGGUGAAAUGCGUAGAUAUAGGAAGGAACACCAGUGGCGAAGGCGACCACCUGGACUGAUACUGACACUGAGGUGCGAAAGCGUGGGGAGCAAACA